Long non-coding RNA from Acanthopagrus latus (yellowfin seabream), 3659 nucleotides. RefSeq lists it as uncharacterized. The record is from RefSeq and is a predicted model, not a curated record. The transcript is spliced from 4 exons. NCBI's taxonomy places the organism in Eukaryota, Metazoa, Chordata, Actinopteri, Spariformes, Sparidae.
CUUUUUAUGAUAACAUUUAUUUGGCGUUCCAGUCCGAUAGAUUCCUUCAUUUUGUCCAUAAUUUGCAGUUUUAACAAGUUUAAGGGACUAGUUAUUCGUCGAAAACACAGACGAUACCGUCUGUACACACCGCAGUAGGCCUCCAGAGUGUUGCUCGUUCUGUUACGAGCUCCGUGAUUGGGCCGUUUCAGAAAAUAAGGUGGCUCGUUUCAUUUAAGGGCGUUGCCUGGCAACACUGCUGGUAAAAGCUGCAGGCUGCGGAGCUGAUUACGUAAUGUGUUUAUCAAGACUUUUUUUUUUUUCCAUGUUUACCCCGCAGUCACCCUGGAGGCUUCAACAAGAUGGUGUUUAGUUUCUCACAAUAAUACUUGAUUAUUUUAAAUAAUGAUGCAAACAUCAUAAUUGUUUUCGUAGUAAUACAGUCCUCAUAAUGUGUAUAAUGUAGCUAUGUGUGUAGGCUAUGUUUACUUUUAUGGUAUUAUAAAUUUGUAUAUAUGUUGUGCAGCAUGGAUGAGCUACAUAUUACAGUUCGUUGUGCAAACCCGGUGUUGUAAAGUAACAAAUAACUGAACCUUGAUGCCUUUAUAACGUAAUAACACCACAGCACUAUGGACUGUUGUACUUCUGACACAACCCUUGAAAUGUGAGCGCUGGAAGAGUGGGUCAUGGCGGGCAGGGAAUCUGUGCAAAAGUAAACAGGAAAGAAAACACAACCUUUGUGCAUCCACACAGGCGCAGGUGCUGUCCGUAUGGACUCCUCUGUGACUUUCUAAAACAGUCUUUUGGAAAACCCUCAAUCUGGAUCUGCCCGAUAAACUUUGCAACUGGUCAACAUUCACCAGCCUAAAGAGACUUCAUCAGGCCUCAACUUUGUGAUGAACCAGCAGUAAACGAGGCACCCUUGUCUGAGCUCACUGUCCGCUGGUACCCCCCGCAUCUUCCCUAUCAAAUGGAUGAUGACAAGACAAGACUGGAAUCUAAACUCUGUCAGAAUAUUGUAGCUUUAUCGACGGUAUUUCUUGGCGUCUUGUCCGGACAGCUGACUGAUAUUCCAUCUGCUGUGGUUCACGUCAGCGCCGCGAGGAGACAAAUACAGUGACUUGCAAAAAAAAAAAAAAAAAAAAAAAAAAAAAAAGGAACACCAGGAACCGAAAUCACGCAAUGGGCGUCUGGGAGCACCGCACAAUGAUCUGUAAACAGCGAUCACAGCCUAACAGUUACUUUUCAUGUUGUUUCUAAAUGGAGUAAAAGAUCUGACGCUAUCCGACGGUAUGUUGCGUCAUCUCUACAUGCAUUAAUAGCAUUAAUACUGUCAGUAUUUAAAAUAGUGUCCAGUCUGCAGCGCUCACAUGGAGCACAACAUCUCGUCAUGUAUUUAACACUCACCUCGACCUGCCUGCGUCUCCAAUCCUCUCCCGGUGAAAUGCUAUUCCUCAGCUGCAGCGAUUUCUCUGUCACGGUCGCAUCAUCCCGACAGGCUGUUCGGAAAAACUGUAUGUUUGCUUAUCGGCUGCUUCAUCCAUGACUUUUGGACAUGCAGAGUAAACAGCGGCGCUGCAGGGGACGUCCGCGCAGAACCAUGCAGCCGCCGCGCGUCUCCGUCAGCGGAGCCGGCAGGAAGUGAUCACCCUCACAAACUUAAAGUCACCGUGCAGCCCGUUUGGGAAGACUGAAUUGUUAAGCGUGAGAAGAAUUCGGAUGUCAUAUUAUUGUCAUGUCACAGAGGGUUUCCUGUGAAGUUUUAUUAAGGUUUUGAUCUUCACAUUAAAUAGCCCACCAUCCUUUACUGUAUGUGUGAGGCAUACUUAAACUUCCUAAGUGUGUUUGUGUGUCCUUGUAUUUCUUAGGUUACUUUGUAGGCACCAAUAUCUGUAUAUGAUCAGACAGUGACAUCGAACAGAUGCUCAGUUCCCAUUUGGGGCCAAAAAAGCUCUGGAACCAAUGAGGAAUGGUGAAGGACUGCAGGAUUGCAUUUAAAUGAGGUUAAAAAUAGGAUUAGGGUUAAGGUUAGAGGAGCUAAAUCUCCAAGGAGUGAAAGGCAAUGAAUACUGUGUGUGUGUGUGUGUGUGUGUGUGUGUGUGUCUGUGUCUGUGUCUGUAGUGAUAUGGGUGUGGAGGGUGACAGCCUAUAAGACUGAACCGAUCUGACCCGCCCCUGUCAGAGCUGAGCGGGAACACAUGGUCAUGGUGUUGGCUUGCUGCUACAGACCUGUAGUCCCAGAGUGUAGUCAGCUUUGGUGUCCUCUGGUAUCUGAUAUAUGUAAGUACUGGUAUGACCCAUUAAUGGGUCUUGAAGACUCCUUAGAGUGCACCUCCCUCUGAUAUUUAACACUUGGCAACAGUGGCAGGCUGUCUGAGGGCCAUUGGCAAGCACUAUAAAAAGUGCACCAGCUCAUAGAAAGUUGGGAUACAUUUAUAGUGACACCAUUCCAAAACCUGGUAAAGAUGAUAAUUGUUUUAUUAUGUGGCAGAGCUCUGUACUUAAAAGUCACAUUUGACUAUUAACUAUUUAGAAUGGGAUGAAGAGGGUACUAAAAUCCUCUUGCACACUUGGCCACUGUAGAGGCCAGCUCCCUUUUCAAAAUGAGGGCACAGGGGUCCACCAGUGAACAAUGUUAUAAAUGUAGCACCCUUCUAAUUUGUGUAUAUGGGUUUCAUUGCAUUUAUUUCCGUAAAGUGUUCUGAUGUGAUUGUGAACCCAUACAUGUAUUGCUGCUGUUAGCAUGAUCCACAAUUGUCCUAUAUUUUGAAAGGCCUUUGAACAUCUCCGCUUUCUCUUAUUUGGGUUUUCAUUUGUUUGGGCAGGUGUCAAUCAUGUCCUGGAGGUUAACCUUUCGGAAUGUUAGAGGGGCGGGACGAGAGAAAAAACAUGGAAAAUAAGAGAAGAAUGGGAAGGGGAAGGACGUGAAGUCCAAGUAAACGUUCAGAUAAUUUUAUGAAACAGGAUUAGUUACCGUUAUUAACCGGGAGUUUAAGCAAGUGCUUGUUUCUUUUGUUUAGAGUGUAACCGAACAUGUUUUAGAAGUUAGAAGUUAGAGCUGAAUACCAGGAUGAAAUCGAGCUAGCAACGGUUGUGCGAUGCUAACCAUUGCUAGCGGUUAGCAUCGUCAGGAGAGUUGGACAUUGGAUGUCGCCAAGUGCUGCUGCGGGACGGAGGAGUCGGUGCAGGACCAAGCCUCAGGGUGGGUCUCUGGCCAUGACGCUGCCUCUGGGAAGAAGUUUUUGAGAACAUUGUUGGAUCGCUGUUCACUAAGUUUCCCGACCUGCGGCUUCAAUGUGGAUUUCUAUAUGAGUUCCAGCAUUCCCGCCAUCACAGAAGACGGUUGCUUGGAAGAUCUGGACAUCCUUUACGUCAGAGGUAUCCAACCUCUUGACACGUGAGCACAGACACUGCUUUCCUGAUCCAAGUUCUGGUGACAAAUACAAGAAAAAAACAAAGGAAAUUAAAAUCACAGCUACCAAAACAUAUUGAACAUAGUUAACGAAAAGAACUCGUUAACUCGGUCAUAAUUUUGGUAGUUGCUGACAUGAAUUGAUAUCCACAGUAUUUUUCCAUUUGUUACACAUAAACAAUAGAAACAUGAACUUGAAAAGGCUGAAAGAAUGACUAGCAAACAUGGGAACAGGGAAUUUCCGUCACACCGUGAAUGCAGCACAGCG